AUUUGUUCUGUUUGCCUCUGAGAUUUUCUCAUUUACAGGAUUUAAAGCAGCAGUGCAAACAGCGUUAAUUUCUCUAGCAAAGUUGGAGAUGAGGGUCCAGCAUAUGGGUAAUCCUCAUUUAGCAACUGUUUGCAGUUACAGCACUGAUGAAGGUCUGUACAGGAGGUCUGUAAAGCAAAGGAAAGCUGAACUAAGAUCAUAAGUACAGUUGUGGUUUCAUGUAGCAACUGCUUCGCUUAACAACCAAAUUGCCAGUCCCAAUUGUGGUCACUAAAUGAGAAUUACCUGUAUUUGCUAGAUGGGGAAGCAGCUAGACUAGGCUAUUGUAAUAACACUCUGGCCUUUCUAAAUUAGAGCAGUUAAAAUAAAAGAUGUCUUGUUUUUAAAAACCUCGUUUAUAUCUGUUUGCCUUGCCUUUUCAGGUGCAAAAACUGGGUGACUUGAGUGUGGAUGAGUUUUUAACCUCUGGAUUUGAUUCCGAUGAGGAUUCGGUGGAAGAUGCUCCAAAUUCUGGGGAAGAUGAGAAUAGAAAGCUGCCUUCAAAGGCUGACAGCAAAAAAAAACCCCAGGGUGAAAUUUGAGACCAGCGAAAAGGAAAAUAAAUAAAGGCCCUGCUUCGCAGCAUAAAGACCAGCUCUCUCGACUAUAGGAACGAGAUCCAGAAUUUUACAAGUUCCUGGAAGAAAAUGACAAGACGCUGCUUAAUUUUGAUGACUCCCAACAGUCAUGAGGAAGAGGAAGGCCUUCGCGUGUUGCCUGAAAAAUUAGAGCCAUGAAGAAGAAGCGAAAGGCAAGAAGGGGGCUGAAGACCGUGCUCCCGUGAGCAGCAGCGAGGAAGAGGAAGGGGAGUACGAAGUCGACAGCGAGGAGGAGGAGGAGGAAGAGAACUCGAGCGAUUCAGAUGGGGGCGAAAGGGCCGUGCCUGGAGGCCGGGGCCGAAAACCGCCGUCUCGGGCAGAGCUACAACAGCUGGCACGAGGAGGAGGGGACGCGGUGGAAGACUUGGCCUUCUCCGACGGGGACUGAUGGACGGGCCGGGGGGAUGAUCGGACAGCUGUUCCCCGUGGGGGUGCCGAGGAGGGGGCUGCAUUGUUCAAGCUGGCCCUGGAGCGGCGUUUAUGCGCUUGGGGAGACACGCCAUAAAAUUUGGGAUCGGGCAGGGGAGCAGUAAAAAGACUGCUGUAGCUGUAAGAGCUGCUGCUUUUGAAUUUGUGGGUUUUUUUUAAACAAUCUCAGAACAAAACCCAGCCAGCAGUGCUCCCUCUUCCCCUCCUGGACUACAGCCCCACCCCUGGCACUGAAGAUUCAGAGAUGAAGACAAUUUCCCACUGCGGUUACUGCAUAAACACUUUAUUUUUUUUGAAGGACUUCUCUGUUUUCUUGCAAGCCCCUCAGAUGAAAAAUAGUUCGUAUUUUUUUGGAGCCCGCAGCAAGAAAAGUUGGGCUGCAUCUCAUGCUUGGUUUGAAUUUCCCCAAUGCUUGCAGUUGCCCAUUUUCAUUUCUGUACGCGCGGAAGACUUGUUUGAAGGGGAUGGGGAAACUUGUGCAGGUUUGUUCUGUCUCGCUGGCGGAAAUGGCUUGUAAAAACAGCCUGCCGUGUGGAUUUAUUUCUCACGCGUGGAUCUCGGAGCGCUGAAACCGCAGCGGGCAAAACGGCCGGAUCCCGAGGGAGCACCGUUGUCCCCUGCGGCUUUCACCGUGUUGUGGUCCACGGAUGCGUCUCUUGGCACUACGCCGGGCCCACCAGGAACCGAGACCCGUCGGCUUGUGGUUUGAGGUCGCCCAGCAGAUCAGAGCUGGCUGUUGAGGAGCCUGCAAACCUUACAGUUUUGGUCUUGAUUUAGUCCCAAACGUGUCAGGCUGAGUUUCUGCAGUUUGCGAGUCAGGUGGAGGGGGGCAUUGCAGAUCCCCGAGAGGUCCUUAGGUCUUAAGCCUGGCUAGGACAGCCACGUUUUGUGGCUUGUGGGAACGGGGCUGAAACCCAGAGAGCCCUUGGUGGAAGCCUUUGGGUCCCGUGAAUCCCAAAUGGCGGCUUCCCUAGCUUUAAGCUGUGGGGAGUGGUGGGCCCCUGUGCCCUGGGCGAAGACCGUUUAUCUUGUCUGGAGGCUUCGGGUGGCCCAAGUGGAAGCUUCAGGUGCUGGGACAGAGUUGAGGUGUCAGAAGAGCCUAGAGCGGCGUUCCCAACCGUGGUGACUUGGAAGACGUGCGGACAGCUCAACUCCCGUGCUGGCUGGGGGAUUCUGGGAGUUGAGCUGUCCGCACGUCUUCAUGUUGCCAUAGUUGAGGAACACUGACCUGGAGGGUCACAAAUGCCCACCAACCCCAGGUAGGUGCCAAACGUGGGUGGAUGUGAACUCUGCUUUCAUUAAGCCAAGUGGCUUUUAGAUGGGCAGACUUCAAUGCUCAGAAUUUUCCAACUUAAUCUCUCUUGAAAAUUCUGGGAAUUGAAGUUCUCCCAUGUGGAAGGCACUAGGUGGCUGCCACUCAAUUCCCAGAAAUCUGCAGCACAUUUCAGAAUUCUGGGAACUGCAGUCCUCCUCCAGAGGGAUGGAUUUCAGUUCCCAGAAUUCUGAGCUGGAGAAUUAUGGGAAUUGAGCCCC
Molecule: long non-coding RNA, 2600 nt
Organism: Candoia aspera
Lineage: Eukaryota; Metazoa; Chordata; Lepidosauria; Squamata; Candoiidae
Exons: 4
Source: RefSeq, a predicted model, not a curated record